GCUAGAUGAAAGGGAAUGUUCAACUCUGUGACUUGAAUGCAGACAUCAAAAAGCAGUUUCUGAGAAUGCUUCUGUCUAGAUUUUAUAUGAAGAUAUUCCCGUUUCCAACGAAAUCUUCGAAGUUAUCCAAAUAUCCACUUGCAAAUUCUACAAAAAGAGUGUUUCCAAACUGCUGUAUCAAAAGAAAGGUACAGCUCUGUUAGUUGAGGACACACAUCACAAAUAAGUUUCUGAGAAUGCUUCUGUCUACUUUUUAUGGAAAGAUAUUUCCUUUUUCAACAUAGGCCAGAAAGCGCUCAAAAUGUCCACUUCCAGAUACUACAGAAAGAGUGUUUCAAACCUGCUUUAUGAAAGGGAAUGUUCAAACCUGUGACUUAAAAGCAAACAUCACAAAGAAGCUUCUGAGAAUGUUGCUGUCUACUUUUUAUAUAUAAUCCCGUUUCCAACGAAAUCCUCAAAGCCAUCCAAAUAUCCACUUGCAGAUUCCACAAAAAGAGCGUUUCAAAACUGAUCUAUAAAUAGAAAGGUUCAACUCUGUUAGUUGAGUACAUAUAUCCCAAAGAAGUUUCUUAGAAUGCUUCUGUCUAGUUUUUAUGGGAAGACAUUUCCUUUUUCACCAAAGGCGUCAAAGCGCUCCAAAUGUCCACUUCCAGAUACUACAAAAAGAGUGUUUCAAACCUGCUCUAAGAAAGGGAACGUUCAACUCUGAGACUUGAAUGCAGAUAUCACAAAGUCGUUUCCGAGAGUGCUUCUGUCUAGAUUUUAUAUGAAGAUAUUCCUGUUUCCAACGAUAUCUUUAAAGCAAUCAAAAUAUCAAAUUGCAGAUUCUACAAAAAUAGUGUAUCAAAGCUGCUCUGUAAAAAGAAAGGUUCCACUCUCUUAGCUGAGUACAUACAUCACAAACAUGUUUCUGAGAAUCCUUCUGUCUAGUUUUUAUGGGAAGAUAUUUCCAUUUUCACCAU
This 962-nucleotide long non-coding RNA is filed under the name Homo sapiens (human). Its description in RNAcentral is "HSALNT0248559". Lineage: Eukaryota; Metazoa; Chordata; Mammalia; Primates; Hominidae. The record is from RNAcentral.